AUUUAAAUAGUGUAUAAUUAACACUUAACAUUUUCAUUGUUAAAAUUCCUAAGGAUUUAAAUU
This 63-nucleotide transfer RNA is filed under the name Amblyomma maculatum (Gulf Coast tick). RNAcentral's name for it is "tRNA-Glu". Lineage: Eukaryota; Metazoa; Arthropoda; Arachnida; Ixodida; Ixodidae. The record is from RNAcentral. RNAcentral also lists the same sequence under 1 other name.